Molecule: ribosomal RNA, 404 nt
Filed under: uncultured beta proteobacterium
Lineage: Bacteria; Pseudomonadati; Pseudomonadota; Betaproteobacteria
Description: bacterial SSU rRNA
Rfam family: Bacterial small subunit ribosomal RNA
Source: RNAcentral
GAGUUUGAUCGUGGCUCAGAUUGAACGCUGGCGGAAUGCUUUACACAUGCAAGUCGAGCGGCAGCGCGGGGCAACCUGGCGGCGAGCGGCGAACGGGUGAGUAAUGCAUCGGAACAUGUCCAUGUCGUGGGGGAUAGCCCGGCGAAAGCCGGAUUAAUACCGCAUAUGCCCGAGAGGGGAAAGUGGGGGACCGCAAGGCCUCACGCGAUUGGGUUGGCCGAUGUCCGAUUAGCUAGUUGGCGGGGUAAGAGCCCACCAAGGCGAUGAUCGGUAGCUGGUCUGAGAGGAUGAUCAGCCACACUGGGACUGAGACACGGCCCAGACUCCUACGGGAGGCAGCAGUGGGGAAUUUUGGACAAUGGGGGAAACCCUGAUCCAGCCAUUCCGCGUGAGUGAAGAAGGCC